This 90-nucleotide small nucleolar RNA is filed under the name Capronia epimyces CBS 606.96. Lineage: Eukaryota; Fungi; Ascomycota; Eurotiomycetes; Chaetothyriales; Herpotrichiellaceae. The record is from RNAcentral.
UUCCAGUGAUGAUCAAAGGUUAUCAAACAAACAGUUCUGCUUCUGAUUUUUAUUGAAGAAACCGUUACCAGCUUACCAAAUUUCUGAUUU